GAUGAAGAACGCAGCGAAAUGCGAUACGUAAUGUGAAUUGCAGAAUUCAGUGAAUCAUCGAGUCUUUGAACGCACAUUGUGCCCCCUGGUAUUCCGGGGGGCAUGCCUGUCCGAGCGUCAUUGCUGCCCUCAAGCACGGCUUGUGUGUUGGGCCUCCGUCCUCCUCCCCGGGGACGGGCCCGAAAGGCAGCGGCGGCACCGCGUCCGGUCCUCGAGCGUAUGGGGCUUCGUCACCCGCUCUUGUAGGCCCGGCCGGCGCUUGCCGACACAUCAAUCUUUUUUCCAGGUUGACCUCGGAUCAGGUAGGGAUACCCGCUGAACUUAAGCAUAUCAAUAAGCGGAGGA
Molecule: unclassified non-coding RNA, 345 nt
Filed under: soil metagenome
Description: partial contains 5.8S ribosomal RNA, internal transcribed spacer 2, and large subunit ribosomal RNA
Rfam family: 5.8S ribosomal RNA (bases 1-120)
Source: RNAcentral